RNAcentral lists this ribosomal RNA (433 nucleotides) under uncultured bacterium. RNAcentral's name for it is "partial 16S ribosomal RNA". It matches the Rfam family "Bacterial small subunit ribosomal RNA", at positions 29 to 507 of the family's 1533-position model. The record is from RNAcentral.
AACGAACGCUGGCGGCAUGCCUAACACAUGCAAGUCGAACGAGACCUUCGGGUCUAGUGGCGCACGGGUGCGUAACGCGUGGGAACCUGCCCUUAGGUUCGGAAUAACUCCCCGAAAGGGGUGCUAAUACCGGAUAAUGUCUUCGGACCAAAGAUUAAUCGCCUUUGGAUGGGCCCGCGUUGGAUUAGCUAGUUGGUAGGGUAAAAGCCUACCAAGGCGACGAUCCAUAGCUGGUCUGAGAGGAUGAUCAGCCACACUGGGACUGAGACACGGCCCAGACUCCUACGGGAGGCAGCAGUGGGGAAUAUUGGACAAUGGGCGAAAGCCUGAUCCAGCAAUGCCGCGUGAGUGAUGAAGGCCUUAGGGUUGUAAAGCUCUUUUACCCGGGAUGAUAAUGACAGUACCGGGAGAAUAAGCUCCGGCUAACUCCGUG